UGGGGAAUAUUGCACAAUGGGCGCAAGCCUGAUGCAGCCAUGCCGCGUGUGUGAAGAAGGCCUUCGGGUUGUAAAGCACUUUCAGCGAGGAGGAAGGUGGUGAGCUUAAUACGCUCAUCAAUUGACGUUACUCGCAGAAGAAGCACCGGCUAACUCCGUGCCAGCAGCCGCGGUAAUACGGAGGGUGCAAGCGUUAAUCGGAAUUACUGGGCGUAAAGCGCACGCAGGCGGUUUGUUAAGUCAGAUGUGAAAAUCCCCGGGCUCAACCUGGGAACUGCAUUUGAAACUGGCAAGCUAGAGUCUCGUAGAGGGGGGUAGAAUUCCAGGUGUAGCGGUGAAAUGCGUAGAGAUCUGGAGGAAUACCGGUGGCGAAGGCGGCCCCCUGGACGAAGACUGACGCUCAGGUGCGAAAGCGUGGGGCAGCAAACAGGAUUAGAUACCCUGGUAGUCCACGCUGUAAAACGAUGUCGAUUUUGGAGGUUGUGCCCUUGAGGCGUGGCUUCCGGAGCUAACGCGUUAAAUCGACCGCCUGGGGAGUACGGCCGCAAGGUUAAAACUCAAAUGAAUUGAC
Molecule: ribosomal RNA, 571 nt
Filed under: uncultured bacterium
Lineage: Bacteria
Description: partial 16S ribosomal RNA
Rfam family: Bacterial small subunit ribosomal RNA
Source: RNAcentral